Molecule: ribosomal RNA, 479 nt
Filed under: uncultured soil bacterium
Lineage: Bacteria
Description: bacterial SSU rRNA
Rfam family: Bacterial small subunit ribosomal RNA
Source: RNAcentral
AGGACGAACGCUGGCGGCGUGCUUAACACAUGCAAGUCGAGCGGUAAGGCCUUUCGGGGUACACGAGCGGCGAUCGGGUGAGUAACACGUGGGUGAUCUGCCCUGCACUUCGGGAUAAGCCUGGGAAACUGGGUCUAAUACCGGAUAUGACCUCAGGUUGCAUGACUUGGGGUGGAAAGAUUUAUCGGUGCAGGAUGGGCCCGCGGCCUAUCAGCUUGUUGGUGGGGUAAUGGCCUACCAAGGCGACGACGGGUAGCCGACCUGAGAGGGUGACCGGCACACUGGGAUUGAGACGCGGCCCAGACUCCUACGGGAGGCAGCAGUGGGGAAUAUUGCACAAUGGGCGAAAGCCUGAUGCAGCGACGCCGCGUGAGGGAUGACGGCCUUCGGGUGUAAACCUCUUCUAGCAGGACGAAGCGCAAGUGACGGUACCUAGCAGAAGAAGCUACCGGCUAACUACGUACGACCGAGCAGCCGAC